GACGAACCGUGCGAACGUUGUUCGGAAUCACUGGGCUCAAAGGGCGCGUAGGCGGCUCGCGAGGUCGGGGGUGAAAUCCCGCAGCUUAACUGCGGAAGAGCCUUCGAUACCGGCGGGCUAGAGGAAGGUAGGGGUGCGCGGAACUUCUGGUGGAGCGGUGAAAUGCGUUGAUAUCAGAAGGAACGCCGGCGGCGAAAGCGGCGCACUGGACCUUUUCUGACGCUGAGGCGCGAAAGCCAGGGGAGCAAACGGG
RNAcentral lists this ribosomal RNA (253 nucleotides) under uncultured bacterium. RNAcentral describes it as "partial 16S ribosomal RNA". It matches the Rfam family "Bacterial small subunit ribosomal RNA", at positions 524 to 776 of the family's 1533-position model. The record is from RNAcentral.